Molecule: long non-coding RNA, 822 nt
Organism: Zea mays
Lineage: Eukaryota; Viridiplantae; Streptophyta; Magnoliopsida; Poales; Poaceae
Exons: 2
Source: RefSeq, a predicted model, not a curated record
AUCCAUCAUGCAUAUACUCCUAUGUUUUAGUGAAAUAUAUAUAGGACCGGCUGGCUGGCGCGAAUAUAAUGGAAGUGCGUGGUACGUGAUUUCUGUCACGAUCGAUCAAGAUGCAUGCAUAUAUAAGGUUGAUGUGGCCCUGCAGAGGGUACGCCUAGGGAACACACUACUCUGGUGGUCAGGCGAUGCUCAAUUUCAGUGACUCAUUUGUGUCCGGUGGUCGUCAACAUCGGCAUCGAUCAUCUAACAUCCGCUACGUUACUGUCGUUGUCGCGUCCCGCGGCCUUCUCCAUGUUCAUUGCUCCUAUUUCGUUUCAGGCCGGGGCAGGAUAAUGAUUAAUAAUUGGGGUAGCAGACAAUCAGCACCAAAGAUUUGAUGAUGUAUGGCAGCAGAAACUGCCCGCCCUCAUUAUUGACUACGGAGUAUACAUUGAUGACGGAUGCACGUACUACCAGACAAGUUGUCGCUGGAGGGAGUAUAGUAUAACAACAUCUCGAAGGAGUAUGCUACUUGAGUUUUGCAUUGGCCGACACUGAUGCUGGCCAGGUUUGGAGGGUAGUAUGGCACGGAGACUCUUCUACGCCGGAUAUACCAACUACUAGCUAGCUAGUACUGGAAUUGUACAGAGAUGCUUGGCUUGUCCAACUUGUAUAGAUAGGUGUCAGUUCAUGUCUUGUUUGCUACAGAUAGAUUUCUCUCCAGGUUGUGUGGAGCAGUUCAACACAUGUUUUUUUUUCGACAGAUAAAUCUCACCAGCUUCUGUUCUCAUACUAGCUGCGUUGCAUAUCAAGCUGAAAAAGCAAGCUUGGAUAUUUUUUUUC